Molecule: long non-coding RNA, 1444 nt
Filed under: Fukomys damarensis (Damara mole-rat)
Lineage: Eukaryota; Metazoa; Chordata; Mammalia; Rodentia; Bathyergidae
Description: lncRNA (ENSFDAG00000033586.1)
Source: RNAcentral
UCUAAAUCCCCGGCCCUAAAACUUCAAGUUUUUUUUUUUUUUUGGUACUGGGGAUUGAACUCGGGUCCUUGCGCUUGCAAGGCAGGUCACCGAACUGCUGAUCUAAAUCCCCGGCCCUAAAACUUCAAGUUUUAUAAAAUAACAUGACCGACUAUGAGGUAAAGUAUCCUCCUCUCUGGUAUUCUAACAACGUUCCAAUCUCCAUAACACCUCACCUUUGGCACCCUCCUCAAACUGGUUUGUGACUAGGGUUGUCUCUGAAGACUCUUCCUUUGGUAAAGAGAUAAUUUACCUGGACUGAACAGAUUACCCUAGACUCUUGUGAGCUCUUGAAAUGAUACAUGCAUGUUAGUAUAUAUGCAUAUGCCCAGUUUUUAGCUCCAGAGAGAAUCCUUUGGUCUUUUCAGGUGCACAAAAGGAUGUCUUACUCACUGAAUUUUGAGAAUGAUGGCUUUUUUCAGUAAGUUAAGUGGCUUACUGUUUAGGGUUCAUGAAGACAUGUGGACACACACAAAUUUCAUAUGUCGUACAAAGGGCAGAGGAAAUGUUACCUGAGGAAACUCAGCAACUAAUUCUUUUCUUUUAUUUCCAAAUAGAAUGUUUGGACCAAUGAGAAAGAAUAUCAUACCUCAGUUGCUAUCCUUCCAUUGUUACCUUCAAAAGUAAAAAGUUCUGAGCACAGGACUGAGGGAGCGUCUGAAACUGGCUCUGGAAAAGGCCUUUCAGAACCUUCUAGUACCUGUGUUUGAAACACCUAGAAUGGUUUCUAUUGUUCUGCCCGGCUCAGACCGCUGCCACCUUCAGGGUGGGCUAAGCGGAGAGAGAAGGAGAGAGAUAGAGGAAGAGACUGCCAUGAGCAAAUGUCCAAGAGCUGACAUUCACUCAAAGUUUCAAAAUCACAACAUACACCAUUAAGCGAUGGAAGCUGUACAUCUCACAAGACCCUGGCGAACUCUGCAAACCACAUUCUGAACAGUUGGUGAGAGGUGGCCACGGGGGAGGGGCCAGCUUCCUGUGCUUUGACAGAUGAGCAGAAGCCAGAGUUAAAAUCUGACUUGUUUGCAAGGAUUCCAAAACCAGAUCCAAAUCAUCUCUCAGAAUCUUUUCAGAAAUCAGAGUCUUUCAAGUAGCAUCAAGCAAGGCUGCAUGAUUCUGGUAAGUCUCACUUGGGGUCUAAGGAGUACAUGACCAACGCAAGCUCUUCAUAGAAUGCAGAACCUGCUAAAUCCAAACCUAAAUAUUUCAUAAUAAAAUGUCAACCUUCCAAAUUACGUUCUGCAUGAACAAACAAGCCUGGAAAACAUUGAAACAACAGUGCAGUAGGUGGAAACAGAUGUCACCGUUUAUUUUUAAAAUUAGUUUAUUCAACAACUGAAUGGGAUAUGUUGCUUAUUCUACACAACACUUUAGGAUCUGAGUAGUUUACCUGUUGUUAAAAAAAUAC